RNAcentral lists this ribosomal RNA (484 nucleotides) under uncultured archaeon. Its description in RNAcentral is "bacterial SSU rRNA". It matches the Rfam family "Archaeal small subunit ribosomal RNA", at positions 369 to 854 of the family's 1478-position model. The record is from RNAcentral.
GAUAGGGGGAUUCUCAGUGCUCAAGUUUUACUUGGGCUUUUGCCAAGAGUAAGUAUCUUGGAGAAUAAGUGGUGGGCAAGACCGGUGCCAGCCGCCGCGGUAAUACCGGCGCCACAAGUGGCAUUCGCGAUUAUUGGGCCUAAAGCGUCCGUAGCCGGCUUAGUAAAUCCUUUGUGAAAUCGUACAGCUCAACUGUACGGCGUGCAGGGGACACUACUAGGCUUGAGACAGGGAGGAGCUAGAAGUAUGCUGGGGGGACCGGUAAAAUGGGAUAAUCCCCGGUAGACUACCGAUGGCGAAGGCAUCUAGCCAGAACUGAUCUGACGGUGAGGGACGAAAGCCAGGGGAGCGAUCCGGAUUAGAUACCCGAGUAGUCCUGGCCGUAAACGCUGCGAGCAAGGUGUUGCAUAUCUUACAUGGAUGUGCAGUGUCGAAAGGAAGCUGUUAAGCUCGCCGCCUGGGGAGUACGGUCGCAAGGCUGAAA